CUUGCUCUUUUCAGAAUUGAGUGGCAAACGGGUGAGUAACACGUAAACAACCUGCCUUCAGGAUGGGGACAACAGACGGAAACGACUGCUAAUACCGCAUGAAGCAUAGGGGUCGCAUGAUUCUUAUGCCAAAGAUUUAUCGCUUCAAGAUGGCCUCGCGUCUGAUUAGCUAGUUGGUGAGGUAACGGCCCACCAAGGCGACGAUCAGUAGCCGGACUGAGAGGUUGAACGGCCACAUUGGGACUGAGAUACGGCCCAGACUCC
Molecule: ribosomal RNA, 264 nt
Filed under: uncultured Oscillibacter sp.
Lineage: Bacteria; Bacillati; Bacillota; Clostridia; Eubacteriales; Oscillospiraceae
Description: partial 16S ribosomal RNA
Rfam family: Bacterial small subunit ribosomal RNA
Source: RNAcentral